AUUGAACGCUGGCGGCAUGCUUUACACAUGCAAGUCGAGCGGCAGCGCGGGGGGCAACCCUGGCGGCGAGCGGCGAACGGGUGAGUAAUGCAUCGGAACGUACCCUGGAGUGGGGGAUAACGCCGCGAAAGCGGCGCUAAUACCGCAUAUGUUCUGAGGAGGAAAGUGGGGGACCGCAAGGCCUCACGCUCUGGGAGCGGCCGAUGUCCGAUUAGCUAGUUGGUGGGGUAAAGGCUUACCAAGGCGACGAUCGGUAGCUGGUCUGAGAGGAUGAUCAGCCACACUGGGACUGAGACACGGCCCAGACUCCUACGGGAGGCAGCAGUGGGGAAUUUUGGACAAUGGGGGGCAACCCUGAUCCAGCCAUGCCGCGUGAGUGAAGAAGGCCUUC
RNAcentral lists this ribosomal RNA (391 nucleotides) under uncultured bacterium. RNAcentral describes it as "bacterial SSU rRNA". It matches the Rfam family "Bacterial small subunit ribosomal RNA", at positions 28 to 419 of the family's 1533-position model. The record is from RNAcentral.